This 1559-nucleotide long non-coding RNA is filed under the name Homo sapiens (human). Its description in RNAcentral is "PREDICTED lncRNA (TCONS_00186515)". Lineage: Eukaryota; Metazoa; Chordata; Mammalia; Primates; Hominidae. The record is from RNAcentral.
GGAAUUGCUGAAGUUGUGAAGGUUGAUGCUGUGAAUGCGCUCGGUCAUCCCCUUGCAACUGAUGUCACCUGCAGCAUGUCAACGCAGACACAAAACAGGGCAUGGGUCAGAUCUAGCUGGUUGCAUUCCUAACACCUAGGUUUCAGAGUAAAAAUACAGAGUCAGCUUGUGAUGGCAUUCCCUCAAAACAUGGAAGGAAUUGCAGUAAUGAAAGUCAUCAUGUAUUCUAAGAGACUGUUCUGCGAGAGCACAACACAGACGGGGCUAAAGCAGGGAUUGUCUAAGCCCAGUGUGGAGGAACCAUCAAGGAUUUCAGCACGUUUUUUUAGCCAUUGUGAGAAGCAAAAGUGCUCAGGAGUUAAGAGAAGCAGACGUCCGAAAUUAUCUCCAUGCAUUACCAAAAACCGUGGGCACCACGGCACGGGGAAAACUUACCAGGUACAAUGAGCCAGUGACUGUUACUGAAUUUCUUAAGAUUACACUUUUCCCAACUACUGCAGACUGCUUCAGAAUAGAAGAAGACAACUCUCAUGCCAUCAAGCCGACGGACUUUCAAAAAAAUAAAAGAUGCAUUUCUUUACUUGUAAGUAUUUGUCUUUGCAAAGGGCUCUCUGAUAUGGUAGCACAGAAGUUUGCACAUUCUAAGGAUCUGAUGUUUUGCCCUCUUCGGGUAUCCCGGCUGGAAGGAGCUACGGUGAAAGGGCACCUAAGGUGAAUGGACAGAUUGUAGAUGGGUGCACACAGGAAAAUGUACAGCUCCUACAAUGUAUUCUGAGCUUUACUAAGGGAAUUAAUUAUCUGGAAGAACAGGAACAUACAGGCCCAUGAGAAGUAAAAGCAGGCACUGGCAUUCUGCACAGAUGAAAUACUUCCUACGACAGGAAUACAUGCUCACUUGUGGACUUCUCUGUAAUCUGUAGGCAACAUCAGCUCCUGAUUUCUAGGUCUGGAUCUGGGUUCUCUGUAGCACAGGAAGGUCUCUACUUCUCCUACAUAAAUGCCUUGCAUGGCGGGAACUAAAUCAACUACACAGACCCAUACAUCCAGAGAGCAGAGGUGAGCUGGAUACAAGUGGCUUAGAGAUGUGGUGGAAGGAGGCCAGAGCUCCAAGGGAAGGGCAGCAAGGAGACAACAGCAUGGGUUGCAGCUCAGACAACAGGUAAAUAAAACCAAGCAAAGCUGCUGGUCACAGAUUUGACCAGGGUGGCAAGAAAUGACAAGCUACCAUGAGAUUCAACAGUGGCACGGAAGGAUGAUGAGAAGCAAACAGAUUAGGAGAAGCUGCCACCACCGUACAUAGAGGCACAGAUGACCAAGCAGAACAGCACCAGUCCCUGCAAGGUGUGCUCAGAUACAGCUCAGCACAGCCAUCUGGCCAGGAGGGAAUGAUAAUGCACAUGGUGUGCACUGCAGCCGGGAAGUUGAGAACCGCUGUGGGCACCUCAGGACUGAGUCUGGUUACCCUGCUGAUCCAAGAAAUGAAGCCAUCUAAAAUUUUGCCUGCUUUCACAAUUUUCUGUGUGUGUGUGUGUGUAUUAAACAAAGUGAACUAAGAAGCC